CAGGCGCGCAAUUACCCAAUCCCGACUCGGGGAGGUAGUGACAAUAAAUACUGAUACAGGGCUCUUUUGGGUCUUGUAAUUGGAAUGAGUACAAUUUAAAUCCCUUAACGAGGAACAAUUGGAGGGCAAGUCUGGUGCCAGCAGCCGCGGUAACUCCAGCUCCAAUAGCGUAUAUUAAAGUUGUUGUGGUUAAAAAGCUCGUAGUUGAACCUUGGGCCUGGCUGGCCGGUCCGCCUCACCGCGUGUACUGGUCCGGCCGGGCCUUUCCCUCUGUGGAACCCCAUGCCCUUCACUGGGUGUGGCGGGGAAACAGGACUUUUACUUUGAAAAAAUUAGAGUGCUCCAGGCAGGCCUAUGCUCGAAUACAUUAGCAUGGAAUAAUAAAAUAGGACGUGUGGUUCUAUUUUGUUGGUUUCUAGGACCGCCGUAAUGAUUAAUAGGGACAGUCGGGGGCAUCAGUAUUCAAUUGUCAGAGGUGAAAUUCUUGGAUUUAUUGAAGACUAACUACUGCGAAAGCAUUUGCCAAGGAUGUUUUCAUUAAUCAGGAACGAAAGUUAGGGGAUCGAAGACGAUCAGAUACCGUCGUAGUCUUAACCAUAAACUAUGCCGACUAGGGCUCGGACGAUGUUAUUAUUUGACUCGUUCGGCACCUUACGAGAAAUCAAA
Molecule: ribosomal RNA, 666 nt
Filed under: uncultured eukaryote
Lineage: Eukaryota
Description: SSU rRNA
Rfam family: Eukaryotic small subunit ribosomal RNA
Source: RNAcentral